This is a long non-coding RNA of Papilio xuthus (Asian swallowtail), 447 nucleotides long. RefSeq lists it as uncharacterized. NCBI's taxonomy places the organism in Eukaryota, Metazoa, Arthropoda, Insecta, Lepidoptera, Papilionidae. The record is from RefSeq and is a predicted model, not a curated record. The transcript is spliced from 2 exons.
UGUCGGAGCGCGUGUGGGGGUACGCGCUCUCGUACCGCGCACAGGACCGCUGCAAGCACUACCUGGUGGAGGCGGAGCGCGGCUACCGGCUGCUCGGCGCCGCCACCACCACCCACACCUCGCUCGCCGAUCUCAUAAAGUACCACAAGACGGUGGCAAUCACAGAGAGCGGAGGUGAGGUGCUCACCACUCCCUGCCCCCCGCAACACCCGCCCACCUUCUGAACCACGUCACGCUGAUGACGUCACUGAUGACGUCACAACGAUGCUGCAUACAAUGGGAACGCGCGCCGCAUUUUUAUACAAAAAUACGUAUUGCUUUAAACAAUAGGACAUACAGGAUGUCCCGGAAAGAAUGAAGUACCACAGAUUAUUUGGUUGCAAAACAUGAUUAUUUCGAUAUUCGUGUUUUUGAACCCCCUGUAGGUUUAUAACAAAGGUGUUUAUG